Molecule: ribosomal RNA, 428 nt
Filed under: uncultured prokaryote
Description: bacterial SSU rRNA
Rfam family: Bacterial small subunit ribosomal RNA
Source: RNAcentral
UGAGGAAUCUUGCGCAAUGGGGGAAACCCUGACGCAGCAACGCCGCGUGAGUGAAGAAGGCCUUCGGGUCGUAAAGCUCUGUCAGAUGGGAAGAAAUGGAUGGGGGCUAAUAUCGUCCAUCCUUGACGGUACCAUCAGAGGAAGCACCGGCUAACUCCGUGCCAGCAGCCGCGGUAAUACGGGGGGUGCAAGCGUUGUUCGGAAUCAUUGGGCGUAAAGCGCGCGCAGGCGGCUUGGUAAGUCAGGUGUGAAAUCUCGGGGCUUAACCCCGAAACUGCGCUUGAAACUAUCUGACUGGAGUUUUGGAGGGGUAAGCGGAAUUCUAGGUGUAGCGGUGAAAUGCGUAGAUAUCUAGAGGAACACCAACGGCGAAGGCAGCUUACUGGCCAAAAACUGACGCUCAUGCACGAAAGCGUGGGGAGCAAAAA